This 68-nucleotide transfer RNA is filed under the name Marmota monax (woodchuck). RNAcentral describes it as "tRNA.Ala". Lineage: Eukaryota; Metazoa; Chordata; Mammalia; Rodentia; Sciuridae. The record is from RNAcentral.
GUGGUGGCUCAGGGGUAAAGCACUUGCCUCGCACCUGUGAGGCCCUGGGUUCGGUCCUCAGCACCACA